AUCCGCACGAGCGCACCCCUGUCUUAGUUGCCAUCGGUUGAUAGCGGGCACUCUCCGAUAGACUGCCCGGGAUAACGGGGAGGAAGGUGGGGAUGACCUCAAGUCAGCGAUGGCCUUUAUGCCUGGGGCUACACACGUGCUACAGAUGGCCGGUACAAAGGGUUGCAAUCCCGCAAGGGGGAGCCAAUCCCAAAAAACNGGCCUCAGUUCAGAUUGUGGUCUGCAACCCGACCACAUGAAGGUGGAAUCGCUAGUAAUCGCGGAUCAGCACGCCGCGGUGAAUACGUUCCCGGGUCUUGUACACACCGCCCGUCACACCACGAAAGUCAGCUGUACCUGACGUCGCUGGAGCUAACCCGCAAGGGAGGCAUGUGCCCACGGUAUGGUUGGUGAUUGGGGUGAAGUCCUAACAAGGUAGCCGUAGAGGAACCUGCGGCUGGAUCA
This 444-nucleotide ribosomal RNA is filed under the name uncultured Nitrospirota bacterium. RNAcentral's name for it is "bacterial SSU rRNA". It matches the Rfam family "Bacterial small subunit ribosomal RNA", at positions 1084 to 1525 of the family's 1533-position model. Lineage: Bacteria; Pseudomonadati; Nitrospirota. The record is from RNAcentral.